Molecule: non-coding RNA, 73 nt
Organism: Priapulus caudatus
Lineage: Eukaryota; Metazoa; Priapulida; Priapulimorpha; Priapulimorphida; Priapulidae
Source: the annotation of a RefSeq genome assembly
GGGGCUAUAGCUCAGCUGGGAGAGCGCUGCAAUGGCAUUGCAGAGGUCGGCGGUUCGAUCCCGCCUAGCUCCA